CACGAGCUCUGUGCCGCAGCAAACGCAUUAAGUGCCCCGCCUGGGGAGUACGGCCGCAAGGCUAAAACUCAAAGAAAUUGACGGGGGCCCGCACAAGCGGCGGAGCAUGCGGAUUAAUUCGAUGCAACGCGAAGAACCUUACCAAGGCUUGACAUACACCGGAAAAGUGCAGAGAUGUGCUCCCCGUAAGGUCGGUGUACAGGUGGUGCAUGGUUGUCGUCAGCUCGUGUCGUGAGAUGUUGGGUUAAGUCCCGCAACGAGCGCAACCCUCGUCCCAUGUUGCCAGCGGGUUAUGCCGGGGACUCAUGGGAGACUGCCGGGGUCAACUCGGAGGAAGGUGGGGAUGACGUCAAAUCAUCAUGCCCCUUAUGUCUUGGGCUUCACGCAUGCUACAAUGGCCGGUACAAAGGGCUGCGAUACCGCGAGGUGGAGCGAAUCCCAAAAAGCCGGUCUCAGUUCGGAUUGGGGUCUGCAACUCGACCCCAUGAAGUCGGAGUCGCUAGUAAUCGCAGAUCAGCAACGCUGCGGUGAAUACGUUCCCGGGCCUUGUACACACCGCCCGUCAAGUCACGAAAGUCGGUAACACCCGAAGCCGGUGGCCCAAC
Molecule: ribosomal RNA, 605 nt
Filed under: Cellulomonas sp.
Lineage: Bacteria; Bacillati; Actinomycetota; Actinomycetes; Micrococcales; Cellulomonadaceae
Description: bacterial SSU rRNA
Rfam family: Bacterial small subunit ribosomal RNA
Source: RNAcentral